ACCCAUGUCAAGUGAUAUUAGCUGUAAAGCAGAAGUGGACAAUAUCAGCAACAAAUUUAAAUAGACAGGAUGGAAUACAGCCAAUGCAGUAAUAUCCCUCCUCUCGGAGGUAUCUCCACAACCCUACCCUUCAAGAGGCAAGAGAGUCGCCGGGAGAGAGAGGAGGGGGGAGCCAACAGAGGAAGUGAAUACUCUGUUAACAGAAUUGAACUAGCACAUUAAGAACAUACCUUCCUGUUCAUCAGAGCUUGAG
Molecule: unclassified non-coding RNA, 253 nt
Filed under: Hevea brasiliensis (rubber tree)
Lineage: Eukaryota; Viridiplantae; Streptophyta; Magnoliopsida; Malpighiales; Euphorbiaceae
Source: RNAcentral